CCUACGGGUGGCAGCAGUGAGGAAUAUUGGUCAAUGGGCGAGAGCCUGAACCAGCCAAGUCGCGUGAGGGAGUACUGCCCUAUGGGUUGUAAACCUCUUUUGUCGGGGAGCAAAAGCCGGACGUGUCCGGCUGUGAGAGUACCCGAAGAAAAAGCAUCGGCUAAGUCCGUGCCAGCAGCCGCGGUCAUACGGAGGAUGCGAGCGUUAUCCGGAUUUAUUGGGUUUAAAGGGUGCGCAGGCGGAUUUUUAAGUCAGCGGUAAAAUCGUGGGGCUCACCCCCAUCCAGCCGUUGAAACUGGGGAUCUAGAGUGUGCGAGAGGUAUGCGGAAUGCGUGGUGUAGCGGUGAAAUGCAUAGAUAUCACGCAGAACCCCGAUUGCGAAGGCAGCAUACCGGUGCACAACUGACGCUCAGGCACGAAAGCGUGGGUAUCGAACAGGAUUAGAUACCCCGGUAGUC
RNAcentral lists this ribosomal RNA (458 nucleotides) under uncultured bacterium. RNAcentral describes it as "partial 16S ribosomal RNA". It matches the Rfam family "Bacterial small subunit ribosomal RNA", at positions 338 to 795 of the family's 1533-position model. The record is from RNAcentral.